CCUACGGGAGGCAGCAGUGGGGAAUAUUGCACAAUGGGGGAAACCCUGAUGCAGCGACGCCGCGUGAGUGAAGAAGUAAUUCGUUAUGUAAAGCUCUAUCAGCAGGGAAGAAAAUGACGGUACCUGAGUAAGAAGCCACGGCUAACUACGCGCCAGCAGCCGCGGUAAUACGUAGGGCGCAAGCGUUCUCCGGAUUUACUGGGUGUAAAGUGAGCGUAGGCGGCAGUGCAAGUCUGGAGUGAAAGGCGGGGGCUCAACCCGCGGACUGCUCCGGAGACUGUACAGCUGGAGUGCAGUAGAGGGAAGUAGAAUUCCUAGUGUAGCGGUGAAAUGCGUAGAUAUUAGGAGGAACAUCAGUGGCGAAGGCGGCUUACUGGACAGUAACUGACGUUGAGGCGCGAAAGCGUGGGGAGCAAACAGGAUUAGAUACCCGGGUAGUC
Molecule: ribosomal RNA, 440 nt
Filed under: uncultured bacterium
Lineage: Bacteria
Description: partial 16S ribosomal RNA
Rfam family: Bacterial small subunit ribosomal RNA
Source: RNAcentral